Maniola jurtina (meadow brown) is the source of this 1630-nucleotide long non-coding RNA. RefSeq lists it as uncharacterized. The record is from RefSeq and is a predicted model, not a curated record. NCBI's taxonomy places the organism in Eukaryota, Metazoa, Arthropoda, Insecta, Lepidoptera, Nymphalidae. The transcript has 2 exons.
UUUAAAUGUCAAAUAUACAAAGUGAAAACUAAUGUCGAGAUUUAUUUAAAAACAAAUCCUGAUAACCUGAAGCUGUGGCUACAGCUUCAGAAGUGGGAUCCCGGAAAAUAACACUAUUUUCUGUUCCACGCCAACGACUACGUUAAAGUUUUCAGAUUCUGAACUAUGGAACGAGGUGAUGAUCAGCCACGGAGAGUGGCCUAUGACUGGUUUAGUGCAGACCCAGGUGUACCCAGGUUCGAGGGUCAGGGUCGGGAAGCACUAGAAAUUAUUAUUCAGAGUAAGCAAGGGUAUUGCGGGUGCGCUAUACCGAAGUAGAGAAGGGUAUUGCGGGUGCGUUAUACCGAGGUAGAGAAGGGUAUUGCGGGUGCGUUAUACCGAGGUAGAGAAGGGUAUUGCGGGUGCGCUAUACCGAGAUAGAGAAAGGUAUUGCGGGUGCGCUAUACCGAUGUAGAGUAUAACACAGAUAAACGGCUUGACGGAGGGCGUCAACGACGGAAAGAAUUUGCAGGGCGGAGAAAUAUAGAGAGAUCUGUUCGUAUACCGGUGGGUGCAAAACGAGGAUGUUCGACUAGCUCUUCUCUGGAACGUGGUGAAUUGAGCUAAGAGGAAGAAGUGAAGCUAAGACCAGACACGAGAAGAUGAGGUAAAUUCAAAAUCUCGAGCCGGAUGAUUUAGUUAAUUGAAGUUAACAAUCGAUUCAGUUAAUGAAGAGUUCAAAUUCAGUGGUAGAUUAUUUUGACGAUUCAACAGCACUUGUAAAAGUUUAAUUAAAAAAAAAUAUAUACUUUGAAUUUGAAGAUAAAUCAAAGUUAACUUUUAACACUAAUAAUUUAUUAUUCCUGAGUUCGAUUCUAUGUCGAGAGAACAAACGAUCCCAAUUUGACUAAUAAAAGUAGAAGCAUGUUCUGAAAAUUUCCAUCCAUUAUACCUUUCCAAAACUAGCUAAUGUAGCUAAGUCAUGGUAUCAGAGCUUACCGAGUAUGAAAGUAUAUGUGGGCCGAAAGGAAAAAUAAACUAAUCGAAUCAUUUUCCUUGCGAACAGACUACGCUGAAUUCUUGACUAAAACAAAAUACUGGUUAAGCAAGUUAAAUAUGGAGAAUCUGUUGAGCAAUAAUAUUAUGCUAAGGUAUAUUUAAAACAAAAACAAAUUUUUAAUAAUUAUUAUUGUUCGUUUAUGUAUAAGAGUUAACUGCCAUACUUAUUUGUCAUCAUUUAAAUAUUUGAAACCAUAUUAUCUACAUGGUUAUCAUUUUAUAUUUUCUGUGUAUAUCUUGUUUGAUGCAUAUAUUUAUUUAAGAAUUGCUGUGUACAUUGUACAACGGUUGUUGCUUGGAUCCUGAUCUAUUGUUUCUAUAUUUAGACUUUCUACAUUUAUAACCUGUUGGGUGCGCCUUUUUCAAUAAAAUAAAAUAAAAUGAAAUUUGUUAAAUGGGUGUAAAUUAUGGAUAUCAGGCUGUAGAUUGUUUACUGUACGGCGUUGAGGAUAGAGCUGUAAAAGUUAGUGCGUAGGCUGAACAGUUUUAAGAACCAAAAAAAAAAAGUCAUAAAAUAUUUUAGAAUCUUUAAAUUAUGUCAAGCCCCGAAAUCUACGAUUCACAUUUUAAAUUUCGGAAUGAACAUAGGAAU